RNAcentral lists this ribosomal RNA (475 nucleotides) under uncultured Ponticaulis sp. RNAcentral describes it as "bacterial SSU rRNA". It matches the Rfam family "Bacterial small subunit ribosomal RNA", at positions 383 to 876 of the family's 1533-position model. The record is from RNAcentral. Lineage: Bacteria; Pseudomonadati; Pseudomonadota; Alphaproteobacteria; Hyphomonadales; Hyphomonadaceae.
CUGAUGCAGCCAUGCCGCGUGAGUGAUGAAGGCCUUAGGGUUGUAAAAUUCUUUCGCUAGGGACGAUAAUGACGGUACCUAGUAAAGAAGCCCCGGCUAACUUCGUGCCAGCAGCCGCGGUAAUACGAAGGGGGCUAGCGUUGUUCGGAAUUACUGGGCGUAAAGCGCGCGUAGGCGGACCACCAAGUUGGAUGUGAAAUCCCGAUGCUCAACUCAGGAACUGCAUUCAAAACUGUUGGUCUAGAGGCCAGGAGAGGUCAGUGGAAUACCGAGUGUAGAGGUGAAAUUCGUAGAUAUUCGGUGGAACACCAGUGGCGAAGGCGACUGACUGGACUGGUACUGACGCUGAGGUGCGAAAGUGUGGGGAGCAAACAGGAUUAGAUACCCUGGUAGUCCACACCGUAAACGAUGAAUGCUAGUUGUCUGCAUGCAUGCAUGUAGGUGACGCAGCUAACGCAUUAAGCAUUCCGCCUGG